RNAcentral lists this ribosomal RNA (1678 nucleotides) under Childia crassum. Its description in RNAcentral is "SSU rRNA". It matches the Rfam family "Eukaryotic small subunit ribosomal RNA". Lineage: Eukaryota; Metazoa; Xenacoelomorpha; Acoela; Childiidae. The record is from RNAcentral.
AUGGCUCAUUAAAUCAGUUUUGGUUCAUUUGUAUGUCCUACAUAUAUGAAUAACUGCGGUAACCCUGCAGCUAAUGCAUGCUAUUGCUCUUCUACGGAGAGAACUUUUACUAGCAUAACUGGACCCAUCGGCACGGCAUCGAUGGUAAAUGAUGAAUACUGAGUAACUGAAGGACCUUCAUACGCUAUAUACAGCGGAAGGCGAUGCAUUCGAAUAUCUGCCCUAUCAACUAUGACGGUAGUGUAACGGACUACCGUGGUUGUGACGGGUGACGGGGAAUCAGGGUUCGAUUCCGGAGAGGGAGCCUGAGAAACGGCUACCACUUUCAAGAAAGGCAGCAGGCACGCAAAUUACCCAAUGUCGGGACGACGAGGUAGUGACGAAAAAUAACGAUAUGAGCCCAUCGGGUUUGUAAUCGGAAUGGAAGGGAUUUAACAAAUCCCUUGAGGAUCUAGUAGAGGGCAAGUCUGGUGCCAGCAGCCGCGGUAACACCAGCCUCUACAAGCAUAUGCAAAAGUUGCUGCGUUUGAAAAGCUCAUAGUUGGAUCCGUAGUCUGUUCAUCUUCUUUUACGGUCCAGUCAGUUGUACUGAGUUCGUAGACGUUGUUCUGGACUGUCCCUUCGUUAAGGGUGUUUGCACUUCAUUGUGUCGAACUCUCGGAACGGAGUAUUUACCUUGAGUAAAUUAGAGUGCUCAAAGCAAGCUUAUGAUUGAAUAAUAAAGCAUGGAAUAAUGGAGGAGGCCUGCUCUCUAUAUAGCACCAGUUGCUGGAGUGGCAGUAAUGGUUAAAAGGAACAGUCGGGGGUAUUUGUAUUGCUACGUUAGAGGUGAAAUUCUUGGAUCGUGGCAAGACAAACUAACGCGAAGGCAUUUACCAAGAAUGUUUUCAUUAAUCAAGAACGAAAGUCAGAGCAUUGAAGAGGAUUAGAUACCCUCGUAAUUCUGACCAUAAACGAUACCAACUUACGAUUUGUCAAAGUCCAUUUCUGACUUGACAGGGAGUUAACCGGGAAACCAAAGUUUUUUGGCUCCGGGGGAAGUAUGGUUGCAAAAUCGAAACUUAAAGGAAUUGACGGAAGGGCACCACCAGGAGUGGAGCCUGCGGCUUAAUUUGACUCAACACGGGAAAACUCACCAGGUCCAGACAUCGAAAGGAUUGACAGAUUGAAUAUCUUUCAUGAUUCAAUGGGUGGUGGUGCAUGGCCGUUCUUAGUUAGUGGAGUGAUCUGUCUGGUUAAUUCCGAUAACGAACGAGAUCCUAGCCAUUUAAAUAGAGGUAGUAACUUCGGUUGCUAUAAACUUCUUAGAGGAACUAUGCGGAACAUAAUACCGCAAGGAAGUGGGGCUAUAACAGGUCUGUGAUGCCCUUAGAUGUCCUGGGCUGCACGCGCGCUACACUGAGUACAGAAGUGUGAUUGUGGAAACCUAGUCCGAAAUGGUCCGGGUAACCACCAAAAUGUACUGAUUAUGAUUGGGAUAGACUCUUGUAACUAGUAGUCUUGAACGAGGAAUUCCUAGUAAUUUCAAGUCAACAACUUGAUGUGAUUACGUCCCUGCCCUUUGUACACACCGCCCGUCGCUACUACUGAUUGGAUGAUUAAGCAAGAACUUCUGAAACUUGCAGCUGCGGCUUCGUGCUAAAGCAGUGAGCGGAAGAGGAUCGAGUUUUGUUGUCUA